GACGAACGCUGGCGGCGUGCCUAAUACAUGCAAGUAGAACGCUGAAGGAGGAGCUUGCUUCUCUGGAUGAGUUGCGAACGGGUGAGUAACGCGUAGGUAACCUGCCUGGUAGCGGGGGAUAACUAUUGGAAACGAUAGCUAAUACCGCAUAAGAGUAGAUGUUGCAUGACAUUUGCUUAAAAGGUGCACUUGCAUCACUACCAGAUGGACCUGCGUUGUAUUAGCUAGUUGGUGAGGUAACGGCUCACCAAGGCGACGAUACAUAGCCGACCUGAGAGGGUGAUCGGCCACACUGGGACUGAGACACGGCCCAGACUCCUACGGGAGGCAGCAGUAGGGAAUCUUCGGCAAUGGACGGAAGGCUGACCGAGCAACGCCGCGUGAGUGAAGAAGGUUUUCGGAUCGUAAAGCUCUGUUGUAAGAGAAGAACGAGUGUGAGAGUGGAAAGUUCA
RNAcentral lists this ribosomal RNA (452 nucleotides) under Streptococcus mitis. Its description in RNAcentral is "bacterial SSU rRNA". It matches the Rfam family "Bacterial small subunit ribosomal RNA", at positions 28 to 466 of the family's 1533-position model. Lineage: Bacteria; Bacillati; Bacillota; Bacilli; Lactobacillales; Streptococcaceae. The record is from RNAcentral.